CCCUUCGGGGUGUAUUAAUGGCGAACGGGUGAGUAACACGUGGGCAAUCUGCCCUUCACUCUGGGACAAGCCCUGGAAACGGGGUCUAAUACCGGAUACGACACACGACCGCAUGGUCUGUGUGUGGAAAGCUCCGGCGGUGAAGGAUGAGCCCGCGGCCUAUCAGCUUGUUGGUGGGGUGAUGGCCUACCAAGGCGACGACGGGUAGCCGGCCUGAGAGGGCGACCGGCCACACUGGGACUGAGACACGGCCCAGACUCCUACGGGAGGCAGCAGUGGGGAAUAUUGCACAAUGGGCGAAAGCCUGAUGCAGCGACGCCGCGUGAGGGAUGACGGCCUUCGGGUUGUAAACCUCUUUCAGCAGGGAAGAAGCGAAAGUGACGGUACCUGCAGAAGAAGCGCCGGCUAACUACGUGCCAGCAGCCGCGGUAAUACGUAGGGCGCAAGCGUUGUCCGGAAUUAUUGGGCGUAAAGAGCUCGUAGGCGGCUUGUCACGUCGGAUGUGAAAGCCCGGGGCUUAACCCCGGGUCUGCAUUCGAUACGGGCAGGCUAGAGUUCGGUAGGGGAGAUCGGAAUUCCUGGUGUAGCGGUGAAAUGCNCAGAUAUCANGANGAACACCGGUGGCGAAGGCGGAUCUCUGGGCCGAUACUGACNCUGAGNANCNAAAGCGUGGGGAGNNANA
Molecule: ribosomal RNA, 682 nt
Filed under: Streptomyces sp. LK2234.6
Lineage: Bacteria; Bacillati; Actinomycetota; Actinomycetes; Kitasatosporales; Streptomycetaceae
Description: bacterial SSU rRNA
Rfam family: Bacterial small subunit ribosomal RNA
Source: RNAcentral